UGGGGAAUAUUGCACAAUGGGCGCAAGCCUGAUGCAGCGACGCCGCGUGAGGGAUGGAGGCCUUCGGGUUGUGAACCUCUUUCGCUCAUGGUCAAGCCGCAACAAUGGUUGUGGUGAGGGUAGUGGGUAAAGAAGCGCCGGCUAACUACGUGCCAGCAGCCGCGGUAAUACGUAGGGCGCGAGCGUUGUCCGGAAUUAUUGGGCGUAAAGGGCUUGUAGGCGGUUGGUCGCGUCUGCCGUGAAAUCCUCUGGCUUAACUGGGGGCGUGCGGUGGGUACGGGCUGACUUGAGUGCGGUAGGGGAGACUGGAACUCCUGGUGUAGCGGUGGAAUGCGCAGAUAUCAGGAAGAACACCGGUGGCGAAGGCGGGUCUCUGGGCCGUUACUGACGCUGAGGAGCGAAAGCGUGGGGAGCGAACAGGAUUAGAUACCCUGGUAGUCCACGCUGUAAACGUUGGGCACUAGGUGUGGGGGCCACCCGUGGUUUCUGCGCCGUAGCUAACGCUUUAAGUGCCCCGCCUGGGGAGUACGGCCGCAAGGCUA
RNAcentral lists this ribosomal RNA (542 nucleotides) under uncultured bacterium. Its description in RNAcentral is "bacterial SSU rRNA". It matches the Rfam family "Bacterial small subunit ribosomal RNA", at positions 355 to 896 of the family's 1533-position model. The record is from RNAcentral.